GGAUUUUUUGCUCCAAAAAAUUAAUUUUUUGACCGUUAUUUUACUAUUCAAAUCGUAAUUUUUGACUUCUUCUCUCACAUGUGAAUCCCACUUUUCUUCUACCGGUCAAAAAAUCAAUUUUCAAAAUCUCUACCAAACGAGUCCUAAAUUUGGUUGGUAAAAUGAAUUAUUACCAUUUCUAUUCUAUAUAAACCCUACAACUUCUAGCAUUCGGUGGGUUCACUGAAUUCAUUUGUGCUUAGAUUCGGAAUUGGAAGAUAAGGGCCAGAAGUUUAUGCGAAGUUAUCUGAAAUCGGCAGGUACACUGAAUUCAUUUGUGUUUAGAACAAUGGAAUUAUAUUUUUUUGCAUUGACGAGAUUAUCCAAUAAAUUUAGUGAAUUCAAACAAAGAUUUUGCAUCCUUUUAUAUUGAUUUUGAUAGUUAAACUUGUAAAAUCUUAAUACAGAAAUACUUAUUACAAUUUUAAAUAAAAAGAUUUCUAUAUUGAGUAGAUUAUCCAUAAAAUAUUGUUUACAUAACUUGAAAAGUCAUGCUUAUGUUCGAUCUUAUAUAUAUAUAUAUAGAGGAAAUAAACUGCGUAAAACUUUCAAUGUCUUUAACGUUCAUUGGGGAAAAUACAAAAAAAUAUAAUUCAUUUGUAUCUUAUUAUUGUGAAUGGGAAGAUAUUUUGUUCAACUAAUCAGGUAAUGUAUUAAUUUAUGUUUAAUAUCAUGUUUCCAACCAACUUGUAUAGAUUGGAUAAUUUCUUAAUAUAUCAUUUGUGUUUAUUUUGAGUAUAUAUAAAGAUGGAAAAAAAUAUUCUAUCAUAUAUCCUCAGAAACUCUUAAUCUUGAUUUAAGAGAGCAAUUUGUAAUAUAAACAUUUCAAUAGAAAUUUAUUUUCAAUCUUUAGUUCCCAACCUCUCUUUCCAAUAAAGGGAAAGUACAUUCAUAACCCCACUUUUUCCCAAUUAUAAUUAUCCCUAAUCCUCCAAGAAGGAUAGCCCAGCUUGCAGCUCAAUAUAUCAAAACAGAUGCACAAAUGGCUAAAUAUAAUCCCACACGCCAUAAGUAAGAAUUGAAAAAGAGGGGGAAAAAAAAGGGUAGAGAAGAAGUUACCAAUUCCCUCGAUUCUUUAAACAAAUUUCCUCACGAGACUCAUUUAAAAAUUCAAAAAUAUACAUGGAACCCUUGAAAAAUUAAAAUGUAUCAUUUCUACAAAUCCUCCGCACGAUGCCUUAUUUCCCUGCCUUUUAAGGCAUCCAUUUUGCUGCCUUAAGAGGCAUUUUAGGCAGCUGACUAUAUUAAUAAAAAAAUCGAGCCUGUCCCGCUUGGCCCAUAUCGGUUCUACCUACUGAAUACUGGACAGUCGUAAUGCAGCGAAGCCUCUACCAAGGCCACUAAACCUGAAUUGGAGAGAGCGACUAGCCCAUUUAAGGAACCAUACGUUACGCAUUUAAUUAAAACUCGUAGGGAAGUACACGUCAUGCAUUCCUGGUCUCAGGCCUUAAAUGCGUGACGUGUGCUUCCCUACGAGUUUUAAUUAAAUGCAUGACUUGUGCUUCCUUAAAUGGGUUAGAUGCUCUCUCCAAUUCAAGUUUAGUGGCCUUGGUGGAGGCGCUGUUGCAUAGCGACUGUCCAAUAUUCAGUAGGUAGGGGUUUAUCCUGGGGAGGGAUUUUUUUCCAGUAGGUAGGGUGUUAGUUAAAAUUGAAUUUUAAAGAAAAGAAAUUGACCAUCCAACUAUGUAAUUAAUUUUAUUUUUUUUUAAAAGUCUCAAAUAAAUUAUUUAAUGAGAAGGCAUGGAAAAAGACAUGUUAGUUAACAAAUUAUUAAAAAAAUUAAUUUUUUUUGAAAAAAUUAAAAAGUGCAAAUGAGUCUAGAAUGAAAUCAAUUUUCUUUAAUUUCAUUAUUAUUUAAAAUUCGUAAAAAGAAAAUUUAAAAAAUAAUUUUCUUUAGUUUUCUUUUUUAUUAUUAUUUAAAUAUAAGGAUAUAUUUCGAGCAUGAGCAUCCGAUUGGGUCCACCACUUUUUUGACAAUAGAACGGCAAUUCAACUCGUCGGCUCGAACCAAGCCACAUUUAGGGGAAACAGGCAUAGCGCGAGCCAGCUCGGGCUCGGGCCUUAAAGGCGUGAUGUGUGCUUCAACCUUAACUUCAUCCCGUGCUUUCCUUUCUGGAGAAGAGUUUGAAAGAAUAUGUACAAAAUCAUCUUGUAAAAUACAAAUCGUAGCCUCAUUUUGGUCUUCUUUUGAAUGAUUUUUACCUUUCUCUCACAUUUACUCUUAAUUAUGAGUUUCUUUUGGUUAUUUGAUUUGCAGCUUUAUUUCAAGUGUUCAAAAGAUCAAGAAAUUGCAACCUGGAUGGGAGAUUAAUGAACUAAGGUAUGUCAAUUUCAUAGUUGUUCCAUUCGAAGCAUAUUUGUUUCUUCAUGUUAGCUUUGUUUAAUUUUUCCAAUUCAUUCAAGUGUCCAUUUCUCAUGAUUUCCACUUCGAAUCUUGGGCAUAACUAAGGUAUGUCAAUUUCAUAGUUGUUUCAUUUUUCAUAGUUCUUUCAUUUUAGUAUUAUCUGUUCCUUUUAGUUAGCUUUUUUAAUGGUG
Molecule: long non-coding RNA, 2574 nt
Filed under: Olea europaea subsp. europaea
Lineage: Eukaryota; Viridiplantae; Streptophyta; Magnoliopsida; Lamiales; Oleaceae
Source: RNAcentral